UACGUAGGGGGCUAGCGUUAUCCGGAAUUACUGGGCGUAAAGGGUGCGUAGGUGGCUUCUUAAGUCAGAGGUGAAAGGCUACGGCUCAACCGUAGUAAGCCUUUGAAACUGGGAAACUUGAGUGCAGGAGAGGAGAGUGGAAUUCCUAGUGUAGCGGUGAAAUGCGUAGAUAUUAGGAGGAACACCAGUUGCGAAGGCGGCUCUCUGGACUGUAACUGACACUGAGGCACGAAAGCGUGGGGAGCAAACAGGAUUAGAUACCCUGGUAGUCCCUGA
This 276-nucleotide ribosomal RNA is filed under the name uncultured prokaryote. RNAcentral's name for it is "partial 16S ribosomal RNA". It matches the Rfam family "Bacterial small subunit ribosomal RNA", at positions 524 to 800 of the family's 1533-position model. The record is from RNAcentral.